This 465-nucleotide ribosomal RNA is filed under the name uncultured bacterium. RNAcentral describes it as "partial 16S ribosomal RNA". It matches the Rfam family "Bacterial small subunit ribosomal RNA", at positions 338 to 795 of the family's 1533-position model. The record is from RNAcentral.
GCUACGGGGGGCAGCAGUGGGGAAUAUUGCGCAAUGGGCGAAAGCCUGACGCAGCGACGCCGCGUGAGGGAUGAAGGUCCUCGGAUCGUAAAACUCUGUCAGCAGGGAAGAACGGUCACUGUGCUAAUCAGCAGUGAAUUGACGGUACCUGCAAAGGAAGCACCGGCUCACUACGUGCGCGCAGCCGCGGUACUACGGGGGGUGCGAGCGUUAAUGGGAAUUACUGGGCGUAAAGCGCGCGUAGGCGGUCUGACAAGUCAAGGGUGAAAUCCCCGGCCUCAUAGUGGGAACUGCCUUUGAAACUGUCAAACUGGAGUGUGUGAGAGGAUAGUGGAAUUCCAGGUGUAGAAGUGAAAUCCGUAGAGAUCUGGCGGAACAUCAGUGGCGAAGGCGACUUUCUGGCACAUAACUGACGCUGAGGAGCGAAAGCGUGGGUAGCAAACAGGAUUAGAUACCCCUGUAGUC